AACGCACAUUGCACUUUGGAGAAAUUCCAGAGUAUGCCUCCUUCAGUGUCUAUUUACACAAUACUCUCUGCCGUGUUUGGAAACAAGCGCGUACGCACGAGGACGAUCUGAGAGUCUGCGGCCGCAAGGCCACGUCUCUUGAAGUGUAAGGCGGUGGUUAGGCAACUAACCUCAUUCCUCCAACCCAGCGAUGAAAAGCUUAACGUGUUAACUUUUAUUCGCCAAUGUGACAAUUCGCCUUGUUUGCGAUCUUCCAUUGGCUUGAGUAUGUUGUUGACUGACUAGUUUGACUUGCCUGUACCGGUGUGAAUGGUCGCCAUGAGACGGGGAUCACGCAAGUGGUUGCUCGACUCGUUUUUCAAAUAUUGGACCUGAAGUGAGGUAAGGUUACCCGCUGAACUUAA
This 404-nucleotide unclassified non-coding RNA is filed under the name uncultured fungus. RNAcentral describes it as "partial contains ITS1, 5.8S rRNA and ITS2". The record is from RNAcentral. Lineage: Eukaryota; Fungi.